GACGAACGCUGGCGGCGUGCCUAAUACAUGCAAGUAGAACGCACAGUUUAUACCGUAGCUUGCUACACCAUAGACUGUGAGUUGCGAACGGGUGAGUAACGCGUAGGUAACCUGCCUGGUAGCGGGGGAUAACUAUUGGAAACGAUAGCUAAUACCGCAUAAUAUUAAUUAUUGCAUGAUAAUUGAUUGAAAGAUGCAACUGCAUCACUACCAGAUGGACCUGCGUUGUAUUAGCUAGUAGGGGAGGUAACGGCUCACCUAGGCGACGAUACAUAGCCGACCUGAGAGGGUGAUCGGCCACACUGGGACUGAGACACGGCCCAGACUCCUACGGGAGGCAGCAGUAGGGAAUCUUCGGCAAUGGACGAAAGUCUGACCGAGCAACGCCGCGUGAGUGAAGAAGGUUUUCGGAUCGUAAAGCUCGGUUGUAAGAGAAGAACGGGUGUGAGAGUGGAAAGUUCACACUGUGACGGUAUCUUACCAGAAAGGGACGGCUAACUACGUG
RNAcentral lists this ribosomal RNA (505 nucleotides) under uncultured bacterium. Its description in RNAcentral is "partial 16S ribosomal RNA". It matches the Rfam family "Bacterial small subunit ribosomal RNA", at positions 28 to 507 of the family's 1533-position model. The record is from RNAcentral.